This 733-nucleotide ribosomal RNA is filed under the name uncultured bacterium. Its description in RNAcentral is "bacterial SSU rRNA". It matches the Rfam family "Bacterial small subunit ribosomal RNA", at positions 28 to 774 of the family's 1533-position model. The record is from RNAcentral.
GAGGACCGCUGGCGGCGCGCCUAACACAUGCAAGUCGAACGAGAGAUGAGGAGCUUGCUCUUCAAAUCGAGUGGCGAACGGGUGAGUAACGCGUGAGGAACCUGCCUCAAAGAGGGGGACAACAGUUGGAAACGACUGCUAAUACCGCAUAAGCCCACGGCUCGGCAUCGAGCAGAGGGAAAAGGAGCAAUCCGCUUUGAGAUGGCCUCGCGUCCGAUUAGCUAGUCGGUGAGGUAAUGGCCCACCAAGGCGACGAUCGGUAGCCGGACUGAGAGGUUGAACGGCCACAUUGGGACUGAGACACGGCCCAGACUCCUACGGGAGGCAGCAGUGGGGAAUAUUGCACAAUGGGGGAAACCCUGAUGCAGCGACGCCGCGUGGAGGAAGAAGGUCUUCGGAUUGUAAACUCCUGUUGUUGAGGAAGAUAAUGACGGUACUCAACAAGGAAGUGACGGCUAACUACGUGCCAGCAGCCGCGGUAAAACGUAGGUCACAAGCGUUGUCCGGAAUUACUGGGUGUAAAGGGAGCGCAGGCGGGAGAACAAGUUGGAAGUGAAAUCCAUGGGCUCAACCCAUGAACUGCUUUCAAAACUGUCUUUCUUGAGUAGUGCAGAGGUAGGCGGAAUUCCCGGUGUAGCGGUGGAAUGCGUAGAUAUCGGGAGGAACACCAGUGGCCAAGGCGGCCUACUGGGCACCAACUGACGCUGAGGCUCGAAAGUGUGGGUAGCAAACA